AAAAGAUUUAUCGGCAUACGAUGGAUCCGCGUCCGAUUAGCCAGUUGGCGGGGUAACGGCCCACCAAAGCGACGAUCGGUAGCCGGCCUGAGAGGGCGGACGGCCACAUUGGGACUGAGACACGGCCCAAACUCCUACGGGAGGCAGCAGUGGGGAAUAUUGCACAAUGGGGGAAACCCUGAUGCAGCGACGCCGCGUGAGUGAAGAAGUAUCUCGGUAUGUAAAGCUCUAUCAGCAGGGAAGAAAAUGACGGUACCUGACUAAGAAGCCCCGGCUAACUACGUGCCAGCAGCCGCGGUAAUACGUAGGGGGCAAGCGUUAUCCGGAUUUACUGGGUGUAAAGGGAGCGUAGACGGCGCUGCAAGUCCGGAGUGAAAGCCCAUGGCUUAACCAUGGUACUGCUCUGGAAACUGUGGAGCUUGAGUGCGGGAGGGGCAGGCGGAAUUCCUAGUGUAGCGGUGAAAUGCGUAGAUAUUAGGAGGAACACCGGCGGCGAAGGCGGCCUGCUGGACCGUAACUGACGUUGAGGCUCGAAAGCGUGGGGAGCAAACAGGAUUAGAUACCCUGGUAGUCCACGCCGUAAACGAUGAUUACUAGGUGUCGCGGUACGAAGUACUGCG
This 620-nucleotide ribosomal RNA is filed under the name uncultured bacterium. RNAcentral describes it as "bacterial SSU rRNA". It matches the Rfam family "Bacterial small subunit ribosomal RNA", at positions 202 to 842 of the family's 1533-position model. The record is from RNAcentral.